Molecule: unclassified non-coding RNA, 221 nt
Filed under: Hevea brasiliensis (rubber tree)
Lineage: Eukaryota; Viridiplantae; Streptophyta; Magnoliopsida; Malpighiales; Euphorbiaceae
Source: RNAcentral
CGAUGGGUAAAGAUGAUGAGAAUUUGAAGGCGGAGGAUGUGGAGGAGGGAGAAAUUUCCUAUACGGCAUCAGUGGAAGAGAUCAGUGAGGAAGAUUUUAAUAAGCACGAGGUUAAGGUUGUAAAAGAAUCGAAACCCAAAGACGGUAGGAUUUGGACGAUGAGAGAUCUCUACAAGUAUCAGAUGGGAGGAGGAUACGUCUCCGGCUUGUAUAAUCUUGCU